This 788-nucleotide ribosomal RNA is filed under the name uncultured Dialister sp. Its description in RNAcentral is "bacterial SSU rRNA". It matches the Rfam family "Bacterial small subunit ribosomal RNA", at positions 28 to 776 of the family's 1533-position model. Lineage: Bacteria; Bacillati; Bacillota; Negativicutes; Veillonellales; Veillonellaceae. The record is from RNAcentral.
GACGAACGCGGGGCGGCGUGCUUAACACAUGCAAGUCGAAACGAAAAAGAGGGGAAAGAGCUUGCUCUUUUCAGAAUUGAGUGGCAAAACGGGUGAGUAAACACGUAAACAACCUGCCUUCAGGGAUGGGGACAACAGACGGAAACGACUGCUAAUACCGAAUAAGUUCCAAGAGCCGCAUGGCCCAUGGAAGAAAAGGUGGCCUCUACCUGUAAGCUAUCGCCUGAAGAGGGGUUUGCGUCUGAUUAGCUGGUUGGAGGGGUAACGGCCCACCAAGGCGACGAUCAGUAGCCGGUCUGAGAGGAUGAACGGCCACACUGGAACUGAGACACGGUCCAGACUCCUACGGGAGGCAGCAGUGGGGAAUCUUCCGCAAUGGGCGAAAGCCUGACGGAGCAACGCCGCGUGAGUGAUGACGGCCUUCGGGUUGUAAAACUCUGUGAUCCGGGACGAAAAGGCAGAGUGCGAAGAACAAACUGCAUUGACGGUACCGGAAAAGCAAGCCACGGCUAACUACGUGCCAGCAGCCGCGGUAAUACGUAGGUGGCAAGCGUUGUCCGGAAUUAUUGGGCGUAAAGCGCGCGCAGGCGGCUUCCCAAGUCCCUCUUAAAAGUGCGGGGCUUAACCCCGUGAUGGGAAGGAAACUGGGAAGCUGGAGUAUCGGAGAGGAAAGUGGAAUUCCUAGUGUAGCGGUGAAAUGCGUAGAGAUUAGGAAGAACACCGGUGGCGAAGGCGACUUUCUGGACGAAAACUGACGCUGAGGCGCGAAAGCGUGGGGAGCAAACAGG